GACGAACGCUGGCGGCGCGCCUAACACAUGCAAGUCGAACGGAGUCAAGAGGAGCUUGCUUUUCUUGACUUAGUGGCGAACGGGUGAGUAACGCGUGAGUAACCUGCCCUGGAGUGGGGGACAACAGUUGGAAACGACUGCUAAUACCGCAUAAGCCCACGGAUCCGCAUGGAUCUGCGGGAAAAGGAUUUAUUCGCUUCAGGAUGGACUCGCGUCCAAUUAGCUAGUUGGUGAGGUAACGGCCCACCAAGGCGACGAUUGGUAGCCGGACUGAGAGGUUGAACGGCCACAUUGGGACUGGGACACGGCCCAGAAUCCUACGGGAGGCAGAAGUGGGGGAUAUUGCAAAAUGGGGGAAAACCUGAUGCAGCGACGCCGCGUGGAGGAAGAAGGUUUUCGGAUUGUAAACUCCUGUCGUUAGGGACGAUAAUGACGGUACCUAACAAGAAAGCACCGGCUAACUACGUG
RNAcentral lists this ribosomal RNA (468 nucleotides) under uncultured bacterium. RNAcentral's name for it is "partial 16S ribosomal RNA". It matches the Rfam family "Bacterial small subunit ribosomal RNA", at positions 28 to 507 of the family's 1533-position model. The record is from RNAcentral.